This 463-nucleotide ribosomal RNA is filed under the name uncultured bacterium. RNAcentral's name for it is "bacterial SSU rRNA". It matches the Rfam family "Bacterial small subunit ribosomal RNA", at positions 28 to 507 of the family's 1533-position model. The record is from RNAcentral.
GACGAACGCUGGCGGCGUGCCUAACACAUGCAAGUCGAACGGAGUUAAGUUUUCGGAUUUAACUUAGUGGCGAACGGGUGAGUAACGCGUGAGGAACCUGCCUUUCAGUGGGGGACAACAGUUGGAAACGACUGCUAAUACCGCAUAAUGUUAUUUGGGGGCAUCCCCGAAUAACCAAAGAUUUAUUGCUGAAAGAUGGCCUCGCGUCUGAUUAGCUAGUUGGUGAGGUAACGGCCCACCAAGGCGACGAUCAGUAGCCGGUCUGAGAGGAUGAACGGCCACAUUGGGACUGAGAUACGGCCCAGACUCCUACGGGAGGCAGCAGUGGGGAAUAUUGGGCAAUGGGGGAAACCCUGACCCAGCAACGCCGCGUGAAGGAAGAAGGCUUUCGGGUUGUAAACUUCUUUUAGCAGGGACGAAGGACGUGACGGUACCUGCAGAAAAAGCAACGGCUAACUACGUG